This is a long non-coding RNA of Anser cygnoides (Swan goose), 1561 nucleotides long. Lineage: Eukaryota; Metazoa; Chordata; Aves; Anseriformes; Anatidae. The record is from Ensembl.
AUUUUUUUGUUUCUUUUGGAUAAAAUUGCCACAGAGUCAAAGGUGAUGAAUUGGUCAGCAAUGAUUGUUUCAGCUAAGUCAGCAGAAACAUGGCCAGGAGGAAUGUGGGGUGGGAUGAGGGAGGCUGAGGGGGUCCUGGCUUUGCUUUUGCCCCUGACUGCUGGAGGUGUCCCAGACAAGGCACCCUCUCCCUGUUCACAUCUGCUAAGAAAGGGUCACAAUUCUGGGUGCAGCUCACUUCUGGCAAGGAGCUCCCACAAACCUGGGCACCCGUUUAAGCUCUCCCAUACAUUCAUGUACUGUCUCCCUGUCCCAAAGAGAGUUUCAUCCCCUGAAUCCGCUUCCCAGGAUGCUGUGAGAUGCGGGAAUUUGCCAUCGUGUGGCAGCCACGCUGUUUUAAUUAAACAGAAAAUAUUAAGUGAGCUCAACUUGUGGACAGCACUGGCGUUGGCUUAAACUUGGCUUAUGUUGUUUUGCAAAGCAAGACAACAGUCAGACCCCUUCAGAGAGACCCUGCAAGCACGUUCCCUCCGCACGUGCCCAGCACCGGCUAUGUCAGAGGUUAAGCACCUCAUAUUUGCAGGCAAAGCGGUAUUUGCCAGCCCCCCAACCCAAUUCAGAAGAAAUCAGCAGCUGAGCUCAGGUGACCUCAGUUUAAUCAGAUGAAGCCACACCAGCUGAGGUUACCUGUAGCAGCACAGGCAAGGCUACAUAAACCGCCCCGCUGCAGCCACCAGGCUGUUGCCUUUAGCAGGGUGCUGCUGGCGAAGUGUGGAGCAAGGAAAUUUUCUAAGGGGCAACAAGCACAGACUAUGCCAUUUAUGUGAACAAAUUAAUCUCCAGAACUUCCAAGAUACAGAGAAACGUUUAGCAGCUGGGAACCAGGGAGAUGAAGGCAGAGAUUUUGCUACCUAAAGCAGGUGGAAGAUGGGUUCCCAAGGAAACUCCACCACGUGGCCACGUGAUGGAUCUCCUGCGAUGUACUUGGUACAUGCAGUCUGUCUUCACUGCAAACCUGGAGCAUGAGGCCAGCACUUGCUGGAGCAGCCGCAGCCCAGCGGGAGCCGAGCUGAGCUUCCCGGAGCUGCUUUUGGGCAGGCUGAGCUCCCUGGCCCCGUCUGUGAGAAAGCUCCGUGGCUCAAGGAGGCAGUGUGCCUCCCCCGGCAGCGCCAGAGGGAUUCACGUGAGCGAAAAAGAAGCAAACUGUCCUGCCAAAGAGAGAGGAGAGAGCAUGGAAAUGGUUUGCACUCGGGGUUUUUGCAAGCACGGGGAGAGCCGCUCGCUGCUCUGCCCUGGAGCUGCUGCCAGAGCCGGGCCAGCAGCUGAAGCCCUGCCAAUUAGCACACUGAGUCGAGCACAAAAUAUUUUUAAGCAUCCUGUAAAGCUCUGCUCUGAAAGAAAUGUUUUACUCUCAUCCGUUGGAUUGCCAGAGAGCUUUUUAUGGAUCUGCUCGGUGGCACUGCCGAGAUCCCUGCCCGGUGAUCCGCCUGGGAUCGGUGUUGGAGGCUGCUGCAGGCUGCCAACGCGGCACCGGGGGCUGCAGAGGUGGUCGUGGGUGUAA